UACGUAGGGCGCAAGCGUUAUCCGGAAUUAUUGGGCGUAAAGCGCGCGCAGGCGGUCCUUUAAGUCUGAUGUGAAAGCCCACGGCUCAACCGUGGAGGGUCAUUGGAAACUGGGAAACUUGAGUGCAGAAGAGGAAAGUGGAAUUCCAAGUGUAGCGGUGAAAUGCGUAGAGAUUUGGAGGAACACCAGUGGCGAAGGCGACUUUCUGGUCUGUAACUGACGCUGAGGCGCGAAAGCGUGGGGAGCAAACAGG
This 253-nucleotide ribosomal RNA is filed under the name uncultured bacterium. RNAcentral describes it as "partial 16S ribosomal RNA". It matches the Rfam family "Bacterial small subunit ribosomal RNA", at positions 524 to 776 of the family's 1533-position model. The record is from RNAcentral.